GCAGUGGUGGUUCACGGUAGGAGGCAAGAGGCUUACAAGCAGGAGAUCUGGGUUCGAUUCCCAGCCAUUGCA
Molecule: transfer RNA, 72 nt
Filed under: Loxodonta africana (African savanna elephant)
Lineage: Eukaryota; Metazoa; Chordata; Mammalia; Proboscidea; Elephantidae
Rfam family: tRNA
About the family: Transfer RNA (tRNA) molecules are approximately 80 nucleotides in length.
Source: Rfam by way of RNAcentral